GACGAACGCUGGCGGCGUGCUUAACACAUGCAAGUCGAACGGAAAGGCCCUGCGUUUGUGGGGUGCUCGAGUGGCGAACGGGUGAGUAACACGUGAGUAACCUGCCCUUGACUUUGGGAUAACUUCAGGAAACUGGGGCUAAUACCGGAUAGGAGCUCCUGCUGCAUGGUGUGGGUUGGAAAGUUUCGGCGGUUGGGGAUGGACUCGCGGCUUAUCAGCUUCUUGGUGGGGUAGUGGCUUACCAAGGCUUUGACGGGUAGCCGGCCUGAGAGGGUGACCGGCCACAUUGGGACUGAGAUACGGCCCAGACUCGUACGGGCGGCAGAAGUGGGGAAUAUUGCACAAUGGGCGGAAGCCUGAUGCAGCAACGCCGCGUGCGGGAUGACGGCCUUCGGGUUGUAAACCGAUUUCGACUGUGACGAAGCGUGAGUGACGGUAAUGGGUAAAGAAGCAACGGCUAACUACGUG
Molecule: ribosomal RNA, 468 nt
Filed under: uncultured bacterium
Lineage: Bacteria
Description: partial 16S ribosomal RNA
Rfam family: Bacterial small subunit ribosomal RNA
Source: RNAcentral